RNAcentral lists this transfer RNA (76 nucleotides) under Actinomycetota bacterium. RNAcentral describes it as "tRNA-Thr". It matches the Rfam family "tRNA". Rfam says of the family: Transfer RNA (tRNA) molecules are approximately 80 nucleotides in length. Their secondary structure includes four short double-helical elements and three loops (D, anti-codon, and T loops). Further hydrogen bonds mediate the characteristic L-shaped molecular structure. tRNAs have two regions of fundamental functional importance: the anti-codon, which is responsible for specific mRNA codon recognition, and the 3' end, to which the tRNAs corresponding amino acid is attached (by aminoacyl-tRNA synthetases). tRNAs cope with the degeneracy of the genetic code in two manners: having more than one tRNA (with a specific anti-codon) for a particular amino acid; and 'wobble' base-pairing, i.e. permitting non-standard base-pairing at the 3rd anti-codon position. Lineage: Bacteria; Bacillati; Actinomycetota. The record is from RNAcentral.
GCCCGAGUAGCUCAGUCGGCAGAGCGACGCACUCGUAAUGCGUAGGUCACCAGUUCAAUUCUGGUCUCGGGCUCCA